This 984-nucleotide ribosomal RNA is filed under the name Actinomortierella capitata. RNAcentral describes it as "eukaryotic LSU rRNA". It matches the Rfam family "Eukaryotic large subunit ribosomal RNA", at positions 92 to 938 of the family's 3401-position model. Lineage: Eukaryota; Fungi; Mortierellomycota; Mortierellomycetes; Mortierellales; Mortierellaceae. The record is from RNAcentral.
AGUGAAGCGGGAAGAGCUCAAAUUUAAAAUCUGGCCGGGUUACCGGUCCGAGUUGUAGUUUAUAGAAGUGUUUUCGGCGGCAACCUGGGUACAAGUCCUUUGGAACAGGGCAUCAUAGAGGGUGAGAAUCCCGUCCAUGACCCAGUGGAUGCUGCUAUGUGAUACACUUUCAAAGAGUCGAGUUGUUUGGGAUUGCAGCUCAAAAUGGGUGGUAAAUUUCAUCUAAAGCUAAAUACAGGCGAGAGACCGAUAGCGAACAAGUACCGUGAGGGAAAGAUGAAAAGAACUUUGAAAAGAGAGUUAAACAGUGCGUGAAAUUGUUGAAAGGGAAACGUUUGGCACCAGUCAUGCGUGCAGGAAAUCAGUCUAUUCAGGUGGGGAGUGGCAGGAGUUUGGACCGCAAGGCCAGCUUUUGUUGCAUUUCUGUUUGAAUGGAUGCACUUUUCUGUAUGCAGGUCAACAUCAGUUUUGUUUGCCGGACAAAACCUCAAGGGAAUGUGGCAGCUUUGGCUGUGUUAUAGCCCUGGGGCGAUACGGUGGACGAGACUGAGGCUUUCAGUGUGUGCUUUCGGGCAAGGCCGACCGGGUGCUCUGAGCUAGCACGGGGUACAAUACAUGUAUUUUGCUUCGUGUCUGGAUUAUACUCGCUCGAAUCGGCUCUUCCACGCUUAGGAUGUUGACAUAAUGGUUCUAAACGACCCGUCUUGAAACACGGACCAAGGAGUCUAACAUAUAUGCGAGUGUUUGGGUGGCAAACCCAUGCGCGUAAUGAAAGUGAACGUAGGUGCGAUCCGCAAGGUGCAGCAUCGACCGAUCUUGAUAUUUUUGGAUAGAUUUGAGUAAGAGCAUAUAUGCUGGGACCCGAAAGAUGGUGAACUAUGCCUGAAUAGGGUGAAGCCAGAGGAAACUCUGGUGGAGGCUCGUAGCGAUUCUGACGUGCAAAUCGAUCGUCAAAUUUGGGUAUAGGGGCGAAAGACUAAUCGA